Molecule: long non-coding RNA, 1377 nt
Organism: Boleophthalmus pectinirostris (great blue-spotted mudskipper)
Lineage: Eukaryota; Metazoa; Chordata; Actinopteri; Gobiiformes; Gobiidae
Exons: 2
Source: RefSeq, a predicted model, not a curated record
CUUUAGGAAAUCAUUACUAACACAACUGUAAACGUAAAGUACGACCAUAACUCCCACAAAACUGUCAAAUAAGUUUGUUUUUAACUGCGUGAACCGCGGAGUUUUGAGCUAAAGUUUGCCUAGUGAUGUGCAGCUAAUGCGAUGAAAAAUCCGCUCAAACUUCCAUAUUUGGACACAUUUCCAUCAAACACUAAUGAUGUUUUUACUGUUAGGGGAAAAGAAGCCCACGGAGUGAUUUAAAGAAGCUACGAGGAGAAAACUCCACGUUUUCACGGACAGUGUAAACAUGUAAACAGUUGGUCAGUGUAGCUCGGAGUUAAGAUGAAAACACGCAUUAUUUCAUACAUUCAACUGAAAAGACUCAGUUUGACUCUAUCAAAGCUCAUAUUUACUUGUAAAUCACAUAAUAUAUGCCUCCAACGUGUGCAUUUCAUUCAGGGAAUACAUUAUCUACUUUUAACAAUCCGUGCAUGUUUGUAAAGUGAAGAGUAAAUAAUCCUGCCUGGACAGGUCAGAUUUAUGAUGGACAUGAGGCUCGUUUAACAGAUUUGUGCAGACACUGGUGUAGAUACGACCUGGCUGUGUCUGUUAAGUCUGUCACAUCUAAUGUUAUAACAAUGAGAAAUCUGUUUUACAUGAAUUUUCUUUUCUCAUCUGCAGCCUCCAGUAUGAGGACACAGCACACUGCAGGGGCCACAGAACUGUUGGCUGACAAGAUGCUUGUGAUUCAUAAAAUGGGUCAAAUGCAGAUGACAAAGUACGGCCAACACUGAGCUGGAGGUGCUGACCCAGACUCCUGCCAACAAUUAGGUUUUCACUCUGCAGGACAGAACUUUGAAUCAAUCAGACCUAACACCCAUUCUGCUCUUCCUCCUCCAGAAGACGAGAGACACAUCAGACUGAGUGGUCCAAGUCCACUGUCCAUGUCUCCAAUGUCCAUGUCCAGAGUCUCUGAGGAGGAGGUCCAGAGUCUCAUAUGAUCUGAACAAGUGUGUGAGACAGAAAUGAAAACAUCUGCUCAUAAGUUUUUCUGAAUGUUUUUCAGUCUGUACUGACAUUUGAUUUAUGGUGAAAUGUGCCAUUGGUUUGAUGUCUCUUUUGAUAGUAACUAAUUACAUGUACUAUAAGAAUGUACUAUUGUACUGCAGAUAAGCAGUGGUAUUCCACAUGAUCAUAUUUGGCAAAGAUAUUUUGUUCAUUUUUGAUUGUCACUUGCUUCAGCAAAAAGGGAACACAAUGAGAUUUACUGACAUACAGCUGUUUGUACUAACCUGUUAAUGCAGAGUGUGUGUAAUGGGUUUAAUAUUUGACUUCAUAUUAUGAUAAAGUAUUUCCAGAAGUUCCUUGGAUUGUUUAAUAAACCAGCUUUUCUCAGGA